GAUGAACGCUGGCGGCGUGCCUAAUACAUGCAAGUCGAGCGAACGGACGAGAAGCUUGCUUCUCUGAUGUUAGCGGCGGACGGGUGAGUAACACGUGGAUAGCCUACCUAUAAGACUGGGAUAACUUCGGGAAACCGUAGCUAAUACCGGAUAAUAUUUUGAACCGCAUGGUUCAAAAGUGAAAGACGGUCUUGCUGUCACUUAUAGAUGGAUCCGCGCUGCAUUAGCUAGUUGGUAAGGUAACGGCUUACCAAGGCAACGAUGCAUAGCCGACCUGAGAGGGUGAUCGGCCACACUGGAACUGAGACACGGUCCAGACUCCUACGGGAGGCAGCAGUAGGGAAUCUUCCGCAAUGGGCGAAAGCCUGACGGAGCAACGCCGCGUGAGUGAUGAAGGUCUUCGGAUCGUAAAACUCUGUUAUUGGGGAAGAACAUAUGUGUAAGUAACUGUGCACAUCUUGACGGUACCUAAUCAGAAAGCCACGGCUAACUACGUG
RNAcentral lists this ribosomal RNA (497 nucleotides) under uncultured bacterium. RNAcentral's name for it is "partial 16S ribosomal RNA". It matches the Rfam family "Bacterial small subunit ribosomal RNA", at positions 28 to 507 of the family's 1533-position model. The record is from RNAcentral.